This is a non-coding RNA of Pelodiscus sinensis (Chinese soft-shelled turtle), 366 nucleotides long. NCBI's taxonomy places the organism in Eukaryota, Metazoa, Chordata, Testudines, Trionychidae. The record is from RefSeq and is a predicted model, not a curated record.
AACGAGCCAAUAGGAGCUCAGGCAUGAGGCAGAGGGCUCACCUGUGGAGGAGAUGGGGGGCAGCUGAUCUGGGACUGUGGGAUCCGGAGAUGUCAUUAUUCCCCUUUAUUCGGCUUUGAAUCCCUUUGGCAGGUGAUCUGGGGAUGCAGCCUGACUCCAGAGAGAAUUCAGCAGCCUGACUCCAGAGAGAAUUGCCCUCUACUUCUCACUGACGGGGUUAAUUCAGUGCAAAUGGUCAAACAAGGGCCCUCAUGUGAACCUGUGCAGAAGAGCGAGGGAGUCUAAGGAGCAUCCCUAUGCCUUUCAUGAACUACCUGCAUCACCAGAGCCUUCACAGGAGUAGAAAAGAGAGGCCACUGGCAGGCA